CAUGUCAACAAUGGCGGCUAACAUCAAUGCGGAGGAGAGAAAAGUCAUGGGAAGUUGAAGAAACACAGGCACUUGUGACUCUAUGAGCAGAUUCCACUGUACAACAAGAGCUGUAAUCUUCUGUCCAAAAUGAUAAAGUCAACCAAAAGAUUUCUUUGGAAUUGAGUAAUGUGGGACUAAACCGCAGCGCAAAACAGUGUUGUGAAAAAAAAAAAAAAUUAAAACAGGAUUACAAAAAAGUAAAAGAUCAUAACAAUAAAAAUGGGUCAGACCGCAAAAAAAGUAAAUAUUAUGAUAUAAUGGACUCAGUUCUUGGUCACAGACCUGCAAUGAUAUGUUGAACUCGCGACUUGUCUUCUGGAAUCGAUGUGCUGUCCAACACAGAAUGAAAAGGAUUAUGCAUCAGUCCUGGAUGACUCCUGCACUAAGAUUGAAGGCUCUUCUGCAGCUUCUUCAACUGUGCCUGCACCAACCCUCCCUCCCACUCGAAUAGUGUGAUUAGCAGGUCUAGGCAGGAAAGCGGAAGCAGUCAGAGAUGUCCAGUUCUGUCCAGGAGUUGGAAUGGUGCCUUCAGGAGUCAGAUGACAGCUGCUUAAUCGAAAUGCUGACCGGAAAUUCAGGGAAAGGCAUCUCAAUUUGGAUAGAGAGCAGAGGGAGUGUGAGGCUACAGCCACCGCUUCAGAACCUGCAUUGGAUUAAGUUCAGAGUUUGUGAAACCAAAGUCCUCACAAGCUGAAGUGUCUUCUGGUGUUCAUUUUAACUGAACCUCUCCAUGUACUAAAUCAGUGGUUCCCAAUCCUGAUCCUGGAGGACCACUGCAUCUGCUAGAUUUUGUUUCAGCUGAGCUCACAAUUACAGAAUUGAACACUUCAUUAAAGUAAUGUACUGAUUUACACAUUUUCAAAUGUUUCAACUCUUAACAGGUGGAGGUAGCUUAGAUAAGUAUUCGAUUUAGUAGCUGACAACUCAGUUGGAGCAAAAACCAGCAGACACAGUGGUCCUCCAGGACCAUGGUUGGGAACCACUGUAUGAAAUGGAUCAAAUUUAUUUCUUCAUUUGGACAACCAAAUAAUUACAUAAAGUGACUGAGAGCUUAGUUGAAGUGAAAAACCAGAUGACGAUGCAACUCGACAGUGCAGUUCAAUAUUUAAUUAUUUUAUUUCGGUGUAUAAAAAAACUAUUAGCCCCAUGUUUUUCAUAUGGAGUUAAGAAUUGUUUUUCAGAGUUCUUUUGCACACAUUUAAGUCUAAUAUGUCUUAUUUUGUACACAUUUAAAGCCCAAUGCAUAUUUUUGUAUAUAGUUGAAGUUUUAUGUAUUAAAAACAAGGCAAGCCAGUUUAUUGAAUAUAUUGUAGCGUGAAAGAGGCACUGAUUUAACUCGUAAUUUCAAUUUUAAAAAAUUGAUAGACAUAGAUCAUGAUUUUUUUUACUACCUAUUUUAUAUCACUUCUGGAUGAAAUACACAAAGUAUUUUAAAAUCCUUUUAAUAAUACAAAACAAGAUAUUAAACUCUUAAACCAAAUUAAUAGUUAUACUUAAAAUUCUGCACUAUCCUGCAGAUUUUCUGUUAUGAGAAUAGCAUAACUUAACAAAAACCUUUACUAACACACAAACAACAUUCUUAA
Molecule: long non-coding RNA, 1625 nt
Organism: Acipenser ruthenus (sterlet)
Lineage: Eukaryota; Metazoa; Chordata; Actinopteri; Acipenseriformes; Acipenseridae
Exons: 3
Source: RefSeq, a predicted model, not a curated record